GAUGAACGCUGGCGGCGUGCCUAAUACAUGCAAGUCGAGCGAACAGACGAGGAGCUUGCUCCUCUGACGUUAGCGGCGGACGGGGGAGUAACACGUGGAUAACCUACCUAUAAGACUGGGAUAACUUCGGGAAACCGGAGCUAAUACCGGAUAAUAUAUUGAACCGCAUGGUUCAAUAGUGAAAGACGGUUUUGCUGUCACUUAUAGAUGGAUCCGCGCCGCAUUAGCUAGUUGGUAAGGUAACGGCUUACCAAGGCAACGAUGCGUAGCCGACCCGAGAGGGUGAUGGGCCACACUGGAACUGAGACGCGGUCCAGACUCCUACGGGAGGCAGCAGUAGGGAAUCUUCCGCAAUGGGCGAAAGCCUGACGGGGCAACGCCGCGUGAGUGAUGAAGGUCUUCGGAUCGUAAAGCUCUGUUAUUAGGGAAGAACAAAUGUGUAAGUAACUAUGCACGUCUUGACGGUACCUAAUCAGAAAGCCACGGCUAACUACGUG
RNAcentral lists this ribosomal RNA (497 nucleotides) under uncultured bacterium. RNAcentral's name for it is "partial 16S ribosomal RNA". It matches the Rfam family "Bacterial small subunit ribosomal RNA", at positions 28 to 507 of the family's 1533-position model. The record is from RNAcentral.